GGAAGGAUCAUUGAUGCAUAUUUAAUCUUCAUGAUUUAUAACCCCUUUUUAUUGAUGUGAACACAUAUAUCAUUUUAUAUGUUUUUAACACCAUAUUUUCUUUAUUUUUUAUUGAUUUUAUGUAUUUUAUAAUCAACAAAACUUUAUCUUUCGAGAUUUAUUUUGAUGAUAUAUCAAAUAUAUACACAAGAGAUUAAACCAGAGACUACUUUCAACGACGGAUGUCUCGGCUCCUGUGCGGAUGAAGAACGCAGCGAAAUGCGAUACGUGAUGCGAAUCGCAACGAUCGGUGAGUCAUCUAAGUUUCGAACGCACCCUGCGCUCUCGGUACCCCCGGGAGCGCGUCUGUCUGAGCGUUGCCCUUAUACCCCCCUCAUCUUCUUAUACAAAAUACUACUUUUUGUAUAUGCGAGAUGGAUUGUUGGGUGUUUGUCUCUCUUUCACAGAAAGGCAUCUCCCGAAAUAUAUCAUUCUUUAUCUAUAUCGAGAAUAGGACCUAUAUGACGCUCUUUUGCGUCUCUCUCUCUCAAAGAAAGAGACACACAAAGUUCACUUAUUAGUCUAUCUGUCUUAUCUUUAAUAUAUCGAACUUAUCGGUAAGUUAAAAACAUAGAUGGAAUAGUACUGAUAAAUGAAAUGUAUCUCUCUCUUUGUAGUAGUGAAAAACAAUCCUAUUUCUUAUCAUAUGGACCAACCUCAGAUCAGGCGCCGCCACCCGCCGAACUUAAGCAUAUCAUUAAGCGGAGGAAGAGAAACCAACAGGGAUUCCCUUAGUAGCGGCGAGCGAACCGGGAAAAGCUCAAGCUCUAAAUCUGAACGGUCAAGUGCUGUUCCGAAUUGUAGUCUCGCAGGUAGGCAUUGUUGGUGUUCCCCUUUGGACCUAGAUCCCUUGGAACAGGGUGUCAUGGAGGGUGAGAGCCCCGUGUGACGGUCCAAAGACAGAUGUUAAUGGGGACGCCGGUUAAGCAUUGUCUAUUUCCGGAGUCGGACUGCUCGGGAGUGCAGUCCCAACUGGGUGGUGGACCCCACCUAAAGCUAGAACACUGACAGGAGACCGAUAGCGGACAAGUACCGCGAGGGAAAGAUGAAAAGGACCCCGGGAGGGGAGUCAAAAGUGCCUGAAAUCGUUGAGAGGGAAGCGCUCAGGGACGAGGUAUUAUUUUGUUAUUUCCAGUAAUGAAUAUAAGCAACCCUUUACAGUUGUCCGAUGGGGCGAGUUGGUCGUUGGCCGGGGGGCCAGGAGUGUUGUACGAGGAGAGGGGGCUUGCUCCCUUUAUUAGUGCGAUGCCCUGCGCCUCUUCCAAUCAAAGAUCAGCUUUCUUUGUCUAUCCAACUGUGUAAGGUGAGUCGACAUCAGCUCUAUAUCCGAUGACGGAAGAACAUGUGAUUAUUAACUGAAGCGCGACAGGGGGCAACUCCUGGCGUGCGGUUGCGUGUUCGCGGUCGUCGGUGGGGCUGAGGAAACCGCGCAGGAUGCAUGCUUUGGGGUGACCUGGGGCAGAGGGGCGCCAUUCCGGAUUGUCUGACCGAUGGGGGGCCGGGAACCGGCGCCUUGUUGGUCAAAGGUAGUUCUAGAGUGGAUCGCUUUUUACCUCUAGUGCAGUCAGCGAUGUCGGCCGAGCGGCCCUGAGUGACCCGUCUUGAAACACGGACCAAGGAGUCCGACGCGCGCGCAAGCGUCGAGGGGGGCGAAGCCCCAGACACAUAGUGAAAGCGAGGUUCUUUUUCUUCGGAAAGAGAGCAAGGCAGGAGGAGAGACAAGGGGUCUGUUAUGGGCCUCUUGGGCUCCGCACUGUCGGCCGACCUGGAUUUUUUAGAAAGGUUCGAGCAGGAGCGCGCUCGUUGGGACCCGAAAGAUCGCGAGCUACGGACGGCCAGGACGAGGCCAGGGGAAACCCUGGUGGAGGUCCGAAGCGGUACUGACGUGCAAAUCGUUCGUCGGAGCUGCCCGUAGGGGCGAAAGACCAAUCGAGCGAUCUGGUAGCUGGUUCCCCC
RNAcentral lists this unclassified non-coding RNA (1995 nucleotides) under uncultured fungus. RNAcentral describes it as "sequence contains 18S rRNA gene, ITS1, 5.8S rRNA gene, ITS2, 28S rRNA gene". The stretch from base 692 to 1995 matches the Rfam family "Eukaryotic large subunit ribosomal RNA", at positions 1 to 961 of the family's 3401-position model. The record is from RNAcentral. Lineage: Eukaryota; Fungi.